This 380-nucleotide ribosomal RNA is filed under the name uncultured bacterium. RNAcentral's name for it is "bacterial SSU rRNA". It matches the Rfam family "Bacterial small subunit ribosomal RNA", at positions 28 to 416 of the family's 1533-position model. The record is from RNAcentral.
GACGAACGCUGGCGGCGUGCUUAACACAUGCAAGUCACGGGGGGCCCGCAAGGGUCAACCGGCGAACGGGUGCGUAACACGUGAGCGACCUGCCCAAUUGCGGGGGAUAGCCGGCCCAACGGCCGGGUAAUACCGCAUACGCUUCCCUGGGGGCAUUCUUGGGGAAGGAAACCUACGGGGCGAUUGGAGGGGCUCGCGGCCUAUCAGCUAGUUGGCGAGGUAACGGCUCACCAAGGCGAUGACGGGUAGCUGGUCUGAGAGGAUGGCCAGCCACAUUGGGGACUGAGAGACGGCCCAGACUCCUACGGGAGGCAGCAGUGGGGAAUCUUGCGCAAUGGCCGAAAGGCUGACGCAGCGACGCCGCGUGGAGGAUGACGCCC